AAGCAGCCUGAAUCCCAUCACAGUAAAUUUUAUUGAAUGCAAAAUGUCAAGGAAAAUAUAUCAUAGGUUCAAUACUUCCUUAUAUCAAUAUCUAAAGUUGUGUUACAACCAUACAGACCUUUAAGAUCUCAAAUGAUGAUUUCAUUACAACUUUUGCAGAAUCCUAGAGAAAAUAAGUGACCUUCCCAAGGACACUCAAUGAAUUAGCUGGAAUUCUAACACUCUUCUUUGGUCAAUUAAUCCCACAGGCUCUGGACACUGUAUAUGUAUAUGUACUCUGUAUAUGGAGCAAAUGGACACUGACUGAUUGUACCUGGUACUCAUCUUUUAAAGCUCAUACUUUAUGAAUCUUUGUAGCAGCCAUUCCUCUUAGUCAAGCUGCUCCUUAUUUAGCUAAAUCCUUCAUUUCUUCUUAUGACCUACACAUAUCUUUUACCUUUAAGAGCUCUCCUUUUCUACCUUCUUCUUUUUCCUUUUCUGUAUCUUGUAUAAAACUUACCUUCACUCACUUUGCUUAUAAUCUCACUGGAAUUGCUCCCAAUUGUCAGUGCACAGUCCUGACAAAUCCCAUAAUGUCUUCAUUCAGGAUUCUUAGAAGGAUUUUACUUUUGAUUUUGAAAGCUGAUACAUGUGCAUUCAUAUCUGGUGUUUCUUAUUUCAAUUAUUUUUGAGCUGCUAUCAAAGAUUUAGUGUUGACUGUGGAAACUUUAUCUCUCUUGUCUGACACUUUGAAGACAAAUUCCUUCAUCCUGGAUCAUCCUAGGGAACCACACUAUUAAGCCCUGGAUGGAAUGCUAGAUAUUACUUGACAGCUUUGUUUGCUAGUGGUAGCCCUUUGAGGGCAUACAGAUGUGGGGGGAUAAACACAUAAAAUGACUGAAGGAGAAAGUAAUUAAAUUUUUGACGCUAUUUAGGCAAAGGAAGUUGUUACAUUAAGCUGGUGCAGGUGGUUAAGUAUCAGCCUCUUUCGUUCUAAGUUGGUGAAACACAUUCUCCCAGAAAUAUUGGAGAGACAAUCACUCUUCUUCACCUCAGCUUCUGCAGGGAAAUGAAGUCAUUUCCUACAUCCUAUAGGUUUAUAAUGUCUUGGCUCCCAAUAUAGGCUAAUUGCUCCAAAAGAAAGUUCAUCUUUGAGAUUCUGAGUUAAUGUUUCUAGAAAAGUCAAUGUCAAAAAAGUUUAUAGGGAAGAGUUCUGCUUCUGGCUAUGUCAGACUAGCUUAUAUCAUAGCAACCCUCCCAUUGAAUAAAAGUAUGAAAGCUGAAUAAAGAAAAUGUUUAAAAGCAUCCUAGAGCUUCCAAAAACUUUCUGUGCUUGAGGGGCUAUGAUGCAGAAGAGAAGAAAAGCACAGAAAGAGCCUGACAUUUGGCUAAACAUUUCUCCUGAGCCAUUUGCUGACUUAUAAGCAAUGUCUGGAAUGAAGAGAAGCUAAGUAGAGCUUUUAGUAGGCUCACAAGGCUGAUGAGACAAAAAUUUAGGCUUAAAGCCCACCAAAAAGGAGAGCUGAUAAAAAACUCUAGGCUUUUAAUGCCCCCCAUCAAGCCUUAAGCUUUGGGGGCAAACAAGAAAUAUAUCGCUCUCAUAAAAACUGAAACCAAGAUUUGAGUCAUCUAAGUCCCUAAUCAGAUUAAAGUGAUUGUCCUCUAACCUAAUUGCCUGACAGAAGCUGAAGUAUAUUCUCUCUAGAAGGAAGGUGACAUCAUCCAGAGCCUCAAAUUAUCUCUAUAAUUUUUCAAAAACAAUGCCUGGAAUUUAAUUUUAAAAUUACUAGGAAAAAUAUAACUAAGUCUUUUGAACUUAAGUUAUGCAAAUACUGCUUAGCUGUGAUAUCAAAAGCACAACCCAUCAAAGAAAAAAUCGAUUUAUUAGACUUGCUCAAAACUGAGACCUCCUGCUCUUUGAAAGAUACAGUUAACAGAAUGAAGAGAAGCUGUACAAUAAGGGAAAAUAUUUGUAAAUCAAAUUUCUGAUUAAAAAACUUGUAUCCAGAAUAUGUAAAGAAAUUUCAAAACUCAGCAAUAAGAAAACAAACUAUCCAAUUAAAAAAAGGGCAUAAGAUUUUCAAGUAGACCUCAUAAAUGACAACAUAUAUAGAUGAUAACUAAGCACAUGAAAAUACUCAACAUCAUUAGUCAUUAGGGAAAUAAGUUAAAAUUACAAUGAGAUACCAUAUGCUCUAGUUACAAUGGGAAAAAAAAAAACCCAAAACCAAAUUCUUCCAAACAUGUAUGAAACUAUUAAUACUCAUAUAUUGCUGGUAGAGAUAAAAAGUGGUACAUCCACUUGAGGAAAUAAGAGGUUUGCAAUGUCUUUUGAAAUUAUACAUACUUAGAAUAAGAUCUAGCAAUCCUACUCCUAUUUAUUUUCUCAAAUCAAAUGAAAAUUUGUGUUCACACAAAAACCUGUAUGUGAAUGUUUAUAGUGGCUUUAUUUGUAAUCACCAAAAACUAAAAACAACCAAAUAUCCUUCAACUGGGGAAUGGGUAAAUAAACUAUAGUACAAUGGAAUGCUAACCAGCAUUAAAAAAGAACAAUCUAUUCAUAUGCACAACAUGGCUAACUCUCAAAUACACUAUGUUAAGGUAAAGAAGCCAGUCUCAAAAGGCUUCAUGCCAUGUGAUUCUAUGACAUUCUGGAAAAGGCAGAACUAUAGGGGCAGAAAUUAGACCAGUUGUGAUGAAGAAAGGGGUUGACAAAGGGACAGGGGCAAUACGGGGGGAUGGUGGAACUGAACUAAAUGUAGGUAUGAUGGUGGUUACAUGAUUGUACAUGUUUGUCAGAACUCUUAGAACUGGACUUUCACUCCUGGGAGUAUGGAGUAAACAUAUUUUUCACUAAGUACAAUGAAAAACUCUGGGCUUUACACAUAAAACAAACAUAAGAAGACUCUAAAAGGUGAAGAAAAGCAAGCAGACUACCUAGAAACCUGGGGCCCCAAGGUACAAUACCAGAAGAUUGUGAUAAGUUGUGCAUAUAUAAUGUAACACUCAGAGCAACCACUUAAAAAACUAUAGAGAUAUGCUAAAAAAUAUUUUAGAAAAAUCAAUCAAAAUGAAGCUUUAAAAAAUGCUCAAGUAACCCACUUGAGACAGGAAAAAGAAACAAAAAGAAAGAACAUAAAGAAAACAAAAAAUAAAAAGGUAAGCUUAACCUCUAAUAUAUCAAUGAUUACAUUAAAUAUAAAUAGCAUAGAUAAACCCAUUAAAAGAUAGAGAUUAUCGAAGUAGAUUAUAAAAUAUGACUCCUAUGUUACUACAAGAAACUCACUUUGAAGGUAGUAAGUAAUAUAGGCGGGUUAAAAGUAAAAGGAUGAAAGAUAUAUCAUGCAACAUUAAUCAAAAGAAAAAAGGAAUAGCUAUGUUAAUAUCAGGUAAAAAAAGACUUCAGAGUAAAGAACAUUAAUAGAGACAGGGAAACUGCAUAAGGAUAAAAAGUUCAAUUCAACAAGAAGACAUAGCAAUCAUAAGUGAGAUGAAGGGGUAUUUCAACAAAGAGGAUACAGAGUGGAAAAUAAGCACCUAAAAAUUGGUCAGCAUGAUUAGCUAUUAGGGAAAUACAAAUUCCAAUCAUGGGGAUAUCAUUACAUACCUAUUGGAAUGACAACACCAAAAAUAUAGUGAAACAUAAAUGUUGGUAAAGAUACAGAGAAAUUGAAUCAUUCAUAGCUUUGCUAGUGCAAACAGUGAAUGGUGUAAUCACUCUGGCAAACAAUUUGGCAGACAGAGAAUGAAGAAAAAUGAAUAACUGAAAAGCUAAUGACCAGGAAUUUUUAAAAAAAUGAUGAAAAUAUUAAGCAACAGAUUUAGCAGGUGCUACAAAAAAACAGAAGAAAACAAAACAAAACCGAAAAACCAGGAUGAAUGCACAGCAAAGCACACCUAGGCACCUGUUGAAAACCAGUGACAAAGAAAAUUUAAAACACAGCAGAGAAAAAGACACCAUGAAAGGGGGAUCAAAGAUGUCAACCUGAUUCUACAAUAGAAAUACAGGAAAUCAAAAGACAAUGGAAUGACUUUAUCAAAUAGUAGAUGAAAGAGAAUCACACAAAAGUAACCAUAAGAAGCUGAAGUAGAAGCACCUGGGUGGCUCAGUUGGGUAAGUGUCCAACUCUUGAUCUCAGCUUAGGUCUUGAUCUCAGGGUCGAGUUCAAGCCCCACAUUGAAGGCUGAAGUAACAAUAUUAAUGUCAGACAAAAUAGAGUUUAAAAUAAGAACUAUUACCAAAGAUAAAGGAGACAUUUUAUAAUAAUACAGUAUCAGUAUAUCAGGAAGAUUUAAAAACUAUACAGCUAAAAAUGGAGACCCAUAACAUAUGAAGGAUAUAUUCUGAAAGAAAGAA
Molecule: long non-coding RNA, 4336 nt
Filed under: Canis lupus familiaris (dog)
Lineage: Eukaryota; Metazoa; Chordata; Mammalia; Carnivora; Canidae
Description: lncRNA (ENSCAFG00845000186.1)
Source: RNAcentral